This 468-nucleotide ribosomal RNA is filed under the name uncultured bacterium. Its description in RNAcentral is "partial 16S ribosomal RNA". It matches the Rfam family "Bacterial small subunit ribosomal RNA", at positions 28 to 507 of the family's 1533-position model. The record is from RNAcentral.
GACGAACGCUGGCGGCGUGCUUAACACAUGCAAGUCGAACGGAAAGGCCCUGCUUUUGUGGGGUGCUCGAUUGGCGAACGGGUGAGUAACACGUGAGUAACCUGCCCUUGACUUUGGGAUAACUUCAGGAAACUGGGGCUAAUACCGGGUAGGAGCUCCUGCUGCAUGGGGGGGGUUGGAAAGUGUCGGCGGUUGGGGAUGGACUCGCGGCUUAUCAGCUUGUUGGUGGGGUAGUGGCUUACCAAGGCUUUGACGGGUAGCCGGCCUGAGAGGGUGACCGGCCACCUUGGGACUGAGAUACGGCCCAGACUCCUACGGGAGGCAGCAGUGGGGAAUAUUGCACAAUGGGCGGACGCCUGAUGCAGCAACGCCGCGUGCGGGAUGACGGCCUUCGGGUUGUAAACCGCUUUCGCCUGUGACGAAGCGUGAGUGACGGUAAUGGGUAAAGAAGCACCGGCUAACUACGUG